This 402-nucleotide ribosomal RNA is filed under the name uncultured bacterium. RNAcentral describes it as "bacterial SSU rRNA". It matches the Rfam family "Bacterial small subunit ribosomal RNA", at positions 355 to 774 of the family's 1533-position model. The record is from RNAcentral.
UGGGGAAUAUUGGACAAUGGGCGGAAGCCUGAUCCAGCCAUGCCGCGUGAGUGAUGAAGGCCCUAGGGUUGUAAAGCUCUUUUAACGGGGAAGAUAAUGACGGUACCCGUAGAAUAAGCCCCGGCUAACUUCGUGCCAGCAGCCGCGGUAAUACGAAGGGGGCUAGCGUUGCUCGGAAUCACUGGGCGUAAAGCGCACGUAGGCGGACUCUUAAGUCGGUGGUGAAAUCCUGGAGCUCAACUCCAGAACUGCCUUCGAUACUGGGAGUCUCGAGUUCGGGAGAGGUGAGUGGAACUGCGAGUGUAGAGGUGAAAUUCGUAGAUAUUCGCAAGAACACCAGUGGCGAAGGCGGCUCACUGGCCCGAUACUGACGCUGAGGUGCGAAAGCGUGGGGAGCAAACA